Long non-coding RNA from Populus trichocarpa (black cottonwood), 653 nucleotides. RefSeq lists it as uncharacterized. The transcript has 2 exons. NCBI's taxonomy places the organism in Eukaryota, Viridiplantae, Streptophyta, Magnoliopsida, Malpighiales, Salicaceae. The record is from RefSeq and is a predicted model, not a curated record.
UUUGAAAGCUGAUGAAGUGGUGGAUGAUAAUAGGCAUAAACAAGAUGUUAAUGAUGCUAUUGAUGACAUGGAGGUAGAUGUUAACACUUUAGCUCGGUUCAAAAGGCACUUACUAGAGGAAGAUAGUGUGGAAAAUAGAAAUGAGGUUGAGAGUUAUUUGGUUGAUGGUUGUGAGGAUCCUAAUGAUGAUAAAUUAGAUAUUUUGGGUUGGUGGAAGAUUAAUGCUUCAAAAUAUAAGAUACUUUCGAAAGUUGCACAACAUGUUUUGGCUAUUCCUAUAUCCACAGUGGCUUCCGAAUCAGCCUUUAGCACAGGUGGUCAUAUACUCGAUCAAUUUUGAAGUUCUCUAUCUCCAGCAAUAGUUCAAGCACUUAUUUGUUGUCAAAAUUGGUUGCAUCAUGGUCCAAUUCCAACUGAUAAUACAACCUUGAUGAAUGAUUUUGAAACCUACGAAAACCUUGAAUCAGAAUUUGGUGGAAAGUUGCAUUUACCAACGGAUGAUAAUUAGUUCACAAAUUGUGAUGCAUUUAUUGAAAACAUAUGGUAUAAAUAUCUUUUUUUAUUUUUAUAUCUUCUGAUUUAAUUUAUCAUGUUAUAAUUCUAGAUUAUGAAUUUCAGGAAUCAAAGUGUAAUGCUCUUGAAGUGCUUUUUUA